GAUGAACGCUGGCGGCGUGCCUAAUACAUGCAAGUAGAACGCUGAAGGAGGAGCUUGCUCUUCUGGAUGAGUUGCGAACGGGUGAGUAACGCGUAGGUAACCUGCCUGGCAGCGGGGGAUAACUAUUGGAAACGAUAGCUAAUACCGCAUGACAACAGUUAUUGCAUGAUAACUGUUUAAAAGGGGCAACUGCUCCACUACCAGAUGGACCUGCGUUGUAUUAGCUAGUUGGUGAGGUAACGGCUCACCAAGGCGACGAUACAUAGCCGACCUGAGAGGGUGAUCGGCCACCCUGGGACUGAGAAACGGCCCAGACUCCUACGGGAGGGAGCAGUAGGGAAUCUUCGGCAAUGGACGGAAGUCUGACCGAGCAACGCCGCGUGAGUGAAGAAGGUUUUCGGAUCGGAAAGCUCUGUUGUAAGAGAAGAACGAGUGUGAGAGUGGAAAGUUCACACUGUGACGGUAUCUUACCAGAAAGGGACGGCUAACUACGUG
Molecule: ribosomal RNA, 495 nt
Filed under: uncultured bacterium
Lineage: Bacteria
Description: partial 16S ribosomal RNA
Rfam family: Bacterial small subunit ribosomal RNA
Source: RNAcentral